GUCUUUCUGUGCACCUUUUGAUGCUAAUUGCACGAUUUGCUUCUGGGUCAGUGAUUUUCCUAGGGAAUAGUUUUCGAUGAGAACUUGUUUCCCCAAAGAGAGGGAAAGGGCGUUCUUAGAAUUAGCGAGAUGGUAGUAUUUUUCAGUGAUUUUCCACCAUUGUGCUACUGAAGGAUUGGUUUUAGAUGGAAUUGAAGAAGAAAGGGAGGUGAUGAAAUCAGAUACAAUAGCUCUUUGGGAUGGCUUGAAUUUUCCAUACCAAAUCAAAUUUACUGAUAUUUUGCCAGAAAGAAGUGCACCCUUGUGGUACUUCAGGAGCUGCAUUUGUGGGUCUUGGACUAAAGCAGUGAUCUUUCUUGAAGCAAAACACACAUUGAGGAAAGACAUCAACACAAAAAGUGAUAAAAUGAAAUGGGUCGAAUUGGAACCGAGUAGAGACAUUUUUUUAAUGGUGAGAAAUAAAAGAGUUUAGGAAUUAUGUUAGGAUAGAAUGUAGGAAAAGAGAGGCAGAAGAAUGAAUAUAUAAGGGAAUGAAGGGUGUAAUUAUUGGGAAGGUGCUGAGAAAGAAGGUUACAGUGACUUUAACUAAAAACGCGUUGGCAAUUAAAUUAAGUGGAGCUAGCUAGCUGCAAGUGCAACACAUGCAUAAGGAGGAAUAGGAAAAAACUUAACUGCCAACUUUUAAGUAGCAGUUACUACUACAGGCUACAGCGGCUCAACUAUUCACAUCACUAUUCCAAUUGACUUUAUUGAUCAUUCAUUAAUGUUUAAUUGAUAUUUUAAUUGUUAUAAUUGGGCAAAACAGAGUAAUGAAGUUCACAUACCAACUUGUUUCAAAAGAAAGCUAAAUCCCCCUCCCUCAACUAAACCUAUUACCAAUUGCAACCUUAUUUUUCCUCCUCAUACAUGCUAGUAGCCUAGUAUUGGGUACGUAAAUUCUACGCCUCUUUACUCAGAGCGUCAUAUCCAUGUUUAAUAAUGCGUAAUGAAGUACGUAGCUGCCACUUUACACAGAUUCACUCUCAAAAUUUGAACAUUACGGAUCUUAUAAAUUGGGACGAAGAGCUCUAUUUAAUUUGAAGUUCAUUUCAGUAUUUUUUUUUCUUCAUAUUGUAAGGACCAGCCACUUUGCCAUUAAAACCACGCAGCUUCUUGGUUCUUUUUGUAUACAAACUACAUAUCUAAUUUCUAAAAGGAAUCCUAUGAGCACCAGGCUAAUUCAGUGUAAGGGAUUUUUUUUUUAAUUAUGCUGAAUAGUAAAAGAAAUUUAUUAUUAUUAUUAUUUAGUACAACACAACAUUCCUCCCAGCUUGUUCAUCAUUGAGCAUUAUCAAUUCCUAUAAUGGUUGUCAACUGGUCAUGACAUCCAAGCCCUACCAAAGAACAAAACAAUACACGUUAGAUAUGCCUGAUUUCUAGUCAUAUCAAACCUCUUGUCUUAUGCAAUUUGUGUUGAUCCAUUUAUUAAAUAAAACUUGAGACAUGCCAGCUAUCUAUAUUGCUCUUCUGCCUAGUCGAAACAGAAAAAGAGACACUAAAUUAUUGGCUUCUCAAUUAGUCUAACAUAUAAAAUGUAUGAAUUGAUCACUAAUCAAUUGAUCUGAAUUCCCAAGAUAGUCGUCAAACUGUUAGAGGCAAAAUUUGCACUAUGAUCGAUUAUGUAACAAGGCCUAUACACGAAUGUAAUUGAGAACAAUAUUGAAAUGACAGAUAAUAAGAUAGUCUUGGAUGAAAAUAGGCCUUAGCCAAGCAUGACUUACAAAUGUAUGAAUGGUAGAAGUACAAGUUAUGCUCAUCAAAGGGGGUUUAACAUAUGGGAGAUAUAAUGCUUAUUAUAAAGUUAACUUGUAUUAGGUGUUAAUGAAGUUUUUCACUAUCAUCUUUCAUUCCGAUUUAAGAAUAAACUGUUCAUUAAGGCUAUAAAUCUAAGACCUUAGGAGAGGUUUGUAAGAUUAUUGAUGAUAAUAAAGAACUACCAAGGCUAUUACUCUCCUUGUUUGCCUUUGUAUUUUGUUCAAUUUGUAGAAAAACAUAUUAUCACAACUUUAGAGAAUGCAUGUCUUGAAAUAUUUUGUGAGCAAGUUAUAAUGCUAUAUGCGAUUAGUAAAAGUUAAAAUAAGAUAUAAAAAAAACAAGUUUCUCAUAUAUUAUCAAAUGAACUAAUCAAUAAAUCAUAUAUUACAAUGCUAUGCUCAAUUAUAGUAGAUCCUAUUUUGUAAAUACUGUUUCUCUCUACACUAGAGUUGAACAUGAAGAUGUAGCAGGAUCAUAUAGAGCAGGAACCAAGUAUUUCCUUCCAUUUGUACCAUGUGCAUUGUAGCUUGCACCUGUUGUUUUAUCCACCAAUAAAUCUCCAGCGUAGCCUGGGUAAGCGCCCUUCGCAUAGACACCAGGGCAAGCAGAUGCAGCUUCCAAUGGCGCAUCUGCUUCGCCCUGGUAGUAACCGUUUCCAAAUGGGUUUGUGGCGGUUCCAGCUAAUAAGCUAGCUAAGUUGAUCACCAUACCAUCAACACCCACAUCGUUGUUUGGUGCACCCAAUGGUGGGUUUUGUGGUCCAUAGAUGGGCUGGUGGAAUGGCCACGCACAGUAGCCAGGACACAGAGUCUCUGAGUUACCAACCCAAAUAUAAGCAAAUUUAUAAGUUUUACCCUUAAUAACAGCACCCUUAGAAGCCCCAUGAGUUCCACACCGAUUAACACAGAACCCAUCAACAGCAACAUCAGAUGCGGUCAAUACAACGUUAAUGGCGUCUCUUUGUUCACCCUUUGAUGCCAAUUGAACGAUUUGUUUCUGGGUUAGUGAUUUUCCUAGGGAAUAAUUUUCGAUGAGAACUUGUUUGCCUAAAUUAAGGGAAAGGGUGUUCUUAGAAUUGGUGAGAUGGUAGUAUUUUUCAGUGGUUUUCCACCAUUGUGCUACUGAAGGAUUGAUUUUAGAUGGAAUUGAAGAAGAAAGGGAGUUGAUGAAAUCGGAUACAAUAGCUCUCUGGGAUGGCUUGAAUUUGCCAUACCAAAUCAGAUUAACAGAGAUUUUGCCAGAAAGAAGUGCACCCUUGUGGUAUUUCAAAAGCUGCAUUUGUGGGUCUUGUACUAAAGCAGUGAGCUUUCUUGAAGCAAAGCACACAUUAAAGAAGGAAAUAACAAGAAAGAGUUUCAAAAUGAAAUGGGUCGAAUUGGAAGUGAGAGAAGACAUAUUUUGUAUUUCUUUGUAAGUAUUUGAUGGAAAUUUGAG
Molecule: long non-coding RNA, 3228 nt
Filed under: Solanum tuberosum (potato)
Lineage: Eukaryota; Viridiplantae; Streptophyta; Magnoliopsida; Solanales; Solanaceae
Description: long non-coding RNA (STUB_LNC005140)
Source: RNAcentral